This 460-nucleotide ribosomal RNA is filed under the name uncultured bacterium. RNAcentral's name for it is "partial 16S ribosomal RNA". It matches the Rfam family "Bacterial small subunit ribosomal RNA", at positions 338 to 795 of the family's 1533-position model. The record is from RNAcentral.
CCUACGGGUGGCUGCAGUGAGGAAUAUUGGUCAAUGGGCGGGAGCCUGAACCAGCCAAGUCGCGUGAGGGAAGACGGUCCUACGGAUUGUAAACCUCUUUUGCCGGGGAGCAACGGGCUCUUUGCGAGCGCCCAAUGAGAGUACCCGAAGAAAAAGCAUCGGCUAACUCCGUGCCAGCAGCCGCGGUAAUACGGAGGAUGCGAGCGUUAGCCGGAUUUAUUGGGUUUAAAGGGUGCGUAGGCGGGCUGUUAAGUCAGCGGUAAAAUUUCGGUGCUCAACCCCGGACUGCCGUUGAAACUGGCGGUCUCGAGUGGGCGAGAAGUAUGCGGAAUGCGUGGUGUAGCGGUGAAAUGCAUAGAUAUCACGCAGAACUCCGAUUGCGAAGGCAGCAUACCGGCGCCCUACUGACGCUGAGGCACGAAAGCGUGGGUAUCGAACAGGAUUAGAUACCCGUGUAGUC